UUCUCAAUUCUUUGAAAUGUUGUUGAUUGAUGACCUUAGAGAUUGGAUCAUUACUGUCCCCGAUUUUUAUUUAGACUGAGUUGCUUAAUACCUUGGGAUGAGAAAUAUAUAUACUCACAAAUCAACGGAUCAGUGGUCGGAGAGGAGAUCGGCGAGUAACUGAUGGUCGGCAUGGUCGCGCGCGGCAGAGGAUAGACCCGACAAGAUCGGUUGGCAGAGUAGCUGGUCGGAGUAGAUCCUCCCGGAUCCUUUCCCCGCAUGCACAGAGGAGCCGGAUGGCCGGAAUGUUGCGUUUCUUGGCCGAGAGAGAGAGAGAGAGAGAGGAGCGGAUGAAGAAGCGCCAGUGCCUCAUCGGCGGUAGCGUGCUUGGGAAGGAGGAAAGGGUCAUUUUCUAUUUUUAAUGCAAAUGACCGCAUAUGCCCCUCCCUUACACCUUUCUUUUCCUGCCAAAAUAUUUUCUAUAGACAUUAAAUUUAAGUUUAUAUUGAAUUUGAAUCAUAUAUAAUAUAAAAUAUUUUUAAAUUUAUUCAAA
Malania oleifera is the source of this 532-nucleotide long non-coding RNA. RefSeq lists it as uncharacterized. Lineage: Eukaryota; Viridiplantae; Streptophyta; Magnoliopsida; Santalales; Ximeniaceae. The transcript is spliced from 2 exons. The record is from RefSeq and is a predicted model, not a curated record.